AAUACGGAGGGUGCAAGCGUUAAUCGGAAUUACUGGGCGUAAAGCGCACGCAGGCGGUUUGUUAAGUCAGAUGUGAAAUCCCCGGGCUCAACCUGGGAACUGCAUCUGAUACUGGCAAGCUUGAGUCUCGUAGAGGGGGGUAGAAUUCCAGGUGUAGCGGUGAAAUGCGUAGAGAUCUGGAGGAAUACCGGUGGCGAAGGCGGCCCCCUGGACGAAAACUGACGCUCAGGUGCGAAAGCGUGGGGAGCAAACAGGAUUAGAUACCCUGGUAGUCCACGCCGUAAACGAUGUCGACUUGGAGGUUGUGCCCUUGAGGCGUGGCUUCCGGAGCUAACGCGUUAAGUCGACCGCCUGGGGAGUACGGCCGCAA
Molecule: ribosomal RNA, 370 nt
Filed under: Escherichia coli
Lineage: Bacteria; Pseudomonadati; Pseudomonadota; Gammaproteobacteria; Enterobacterales; Enterobacteriaceae
Description: bacterial SSU rRNA
Rfam family: Bacterial small subunit ribosomal RNA
Source: RNAcentral